RNAcentral lists this ribosomal RNA (443 nucleotides) under uncultured bacterium. RNAcentral's name for it is "partial 16S ribosomal RNA". It matches the Rfam family "Bacterial small subunit ribosomal RNA", at positions 338 to 795 of the family's 1533-position model. The record is from RNAcentral.
CCUACGGGUGGCAGCAGUGGGGAAUAUUGGGCAAUGGGCGCAAGCCUGACCCAGCAACGCCGCGUGAAGGAAGAAGGCUUUCGGGUUGUAAACUUCUUUUGUCAGGGACGAAGCAAGUGACGGUACCUGACGAAUAAGCCACGGCUAACUACGUGCCAGCAGCCGCGGUAAUACGUAGGUGGCAAGCGUUCUCCGGAUUUAUUGGGUGUAAAGGGCGUGUAGGCGGGAAUGCAAGUCAGAUGUGAAAACUAUGGGCUCAACGUGGGAACUGCCUUUGAAACUGGCGUACUGGAGUGUGUGAGAGGAUAGUGGAAUUCGUGGUGUAGGAGUGAAAUCCGUAGAUAUCAGGAGGAACACCAGUGGCGAAGGCGACUAGCUGGAACAUAACUGACGCUGAGGAGCGAAAGCGUGGGUAGCAAACAGGAUUAGAUACCCCUGUAGUC